This 47-nucleotide transfer RNA is filed under the name Amauropelta amambayensis. RNAcentral's name for it is "partial tRNA-Leu". The record is from RNAcentral. Lineage: Eukaryota; Viridiplantae; Streptophyta; Polypodiopsida; Polypodiales; Thelypteridaceae.
GAAAAUCCGUUGGUUUCACAGGACCGUGAGGGUUCGACUCCCUCUAU